RNAcentral lists this ribosomal RNA (253 nucleotides) under uncultured bacterium. Its description in RNAcentral is "partial 16S ribosomal RNA". It matches the Rfam family "Bacterial small subunit ribosomal RNA", at positions 524 to 776 of the family's 1533-position model. The record is from RNAcentral.
UACGUAGGGGGCAAGCGUUGUCCGGAAUCAUUGGGCGUAAAGCGCGUGUAGGCGGUUACGUAAGUCUGCUGUGAAAGUCGGAGGCUCAACCUUCGAAAGCCGGUGGAUACUGCGUGACUAGAGUACGGAAGAGGAGAGUGGAAUUCCUGGUGUAGCGGUGAAAUGCGCAGAUAUCAGGAGGAACACCAACGGCGAAGGCAGCUCUCUGGGACGUUACUGACGCUGAGGAGCGAAAGUGUGGGGAGCGAACAGG